CGCGGGAUUAGAGUUUGAUCCUGGCUCAGGACGAACGCUGGCGGCGUGCUUAACACAUGCAAGUCGAGCGGUAAGGCCCUUCGGGGUACACGAGCGGCGAACGGGUGAGUAACACGUGAGCAAUCUGCCCUUCACAUCGGGAUAACCCCCGGAAACGGGAGCUAAUACCGGAUACGACCACUUCAGGCAUCUGAUGGUGGUGGAAAGUUCUGGCGGUGGAGGAUGAGCUCGCGGCCUAUCAGCUUGUUGGUGAGGUAAUGGCCCACCAAGGCUUCGACGGGUAGCCGGCCUGAGAGGGUGACCGGCCACACUGGGACUGAGACACGGCCCAGACUCCUACGGGAGGCAGCAGUGGGGAAUAUUGGACAAUGGGCGAAAGCCUGAUCCAGCAACGCCGCGUGAGGGAUGACGGCCUUCGGGUUGUAAACCUCUUUCAGCGCAGACGAAGCGAAAGUGACGGUAUGCGCAGAAGAAGCACCGGCCAACUACGUGCCAGCAGCCGCGGUAAUACGUAGGGUGCGAGCGUUGUCCGGAAUUAUUGGGCGUAAAGGGCUCGUAGGCGGUCUGUUGCGUCAGGAGUGAAAACUCGGGGCUUAACCCCGAGCCUGCUUCUGAUACGGGCAGACUAGAGGUAUGCAGGGGAGAAUGGAAUUCCUGGUGUAGCGGUGAAAUGCGCAGAUAUCAGGAGGAACACCGGUGGCGAAGGCGGUUCUCUGGGCAUUACCUGA
This 728-nucleotide ribosomal RNA is filed under the name uncultured Actinomycetes bacterium. RNAcentral's name for it is "bacterial SSU rRNA". It matches the Rfam family "Bacterial small subunit ribosomal RNA", at positions 1 to 743 of the family's 1533-position model. The record is from RNAcentral. Lineage: Bacteria; Bacillati; Actinomycetota; Actinomycetes.